Molecule: non-coding RNA, 85 nt
Organism: Coniella lustricola
Lineage: Eukaryota; Fungi; Ascomycota; Sordariomycetes; Diaporthales; Schizoparmaceae
Source: the annotation of a GenBank genome assembly
GGUCCGUUGGCCCAAUGGCAAGGCGUCUGACUACGACUCUAAACUCGCGAUCAGGAGAUUACAGGUUCGAUCCCUGUACGGAUCA